AGCUGUGGAUGUUCAAAAGAGCUUCCUACCUGGAGAAGAGCCACAGUGCAACAUGAGAUGCUGGAAAGAGAAAAGAGUGGCAGCCUGAUGCUCUCUGUAAGACAGAGAAGACAUUAAGGAGUAAAUGCAACGGGGAUGGCGAAGCUGGUUUAAUCAUACCCAAAGGAAAACAAUGCCUUAAUACUUCCACACAGGAGAGUUCCUUCUGGGGCAUUAAAGGAUAGAUCCCUAGGAUCCUUCUUCCAUUUCGUAUGAAAUUAAUGGUAAUUACCAAGAGUGAUUAACAGGUUCAGUCCCUAUUAGUCUUACUUUUUAAAAUUCUGAAACAAAUAUUUUUCUUCCACUGUAACUGAUCAUUUUAAUUUCCCUUCUUUGUCUGUAAUAAGAAUUGAUGUUAAAGGAUGCCCGAGGCAGUGCAAUGAGAAAAUGAAAUUAGUUUUU
This is a long non-coding RNA of Nothoprocta perdicaria, 441 nucleotides long. RefSeq lists it as uncharacterized. The transcript has 3 exons. The record is from RefSeq and is a predicted model, not a curated record. NCBI's taxonomy places the organism in Eukaryota, Metazoa, Chordata, Aves, Tinamiformes, Tinamidae.